UCCCCCUGAAGUACAUGGUAUCAUUCAACCCUCUUGGUGAGCUGCAGGAAUGUGCUUCCCAUUGCAGUGCACCAGCUCCAUGUACUGAUUUUGGGUGUGAACUUGAUGGGGUUGGAGGAAACUCGACUCGGCCAUCAAGCUCAUCACAAUAUAACAUGAAAAGUGAAAAUUGCUGCACACAACAGCCUGCUGUCUGCACCGGGAGGCAAGGCAGCUCAAAGCCCAGGCUGUUACAACUCCUGGGCAGUUUUUGCCCAGAGCCAGCAAUUUUUUAGGUCCAAUAGGGAUGGAUUUUUUCUGAGGUCAGGUUCAACAUGCUGCAAGAUCUAAGCCUAGUAGGAGAUAUGGGUUACAAGAGAGGAGGUUUGCUCUGGCCUUAUACUAUCAAAGUCCAAAUGCUAAUAGAUUUCUAAGCACAGUAUUUCACUUGCCUUCAGUUUCAACACUUCACUCAUGACUCAGGGGUAUUUCAGUAAA
Eriocheir sinensis (Chinese mitten crab) is the source of this 477-nucleotide long non-coding RNA. RefSeq lists it as uncharacterized. The record is from RefSeq and is a predicted model, not a curated record. Lineage: Eukaryota; Metazoa; Arthropoda; Malacostraca; Decapoda; Varunidae. The transcript has 3 exons.